RNAcentral lists this long non-coding RNA (1889 nucleotides) under Danio rerio (zebrafish). RNAcentral's name for it is "si:dkey-29j8.3 (ENSDARG00000096091.2)". Lineage: Eukaryota; Metazoa; Chordata; Actinopteri; Cypriniformes; Danionidae. The record is from RNAcentral.
GUGGCGAUGCUGGUUCGAGCCUCAGCUGAGUCAGUUGGUGUUUCUGUGUGGAGUUUGCAUGUUCUCCCUGCAUUCGCGUGGGUUUCCUCCGGUUGCUUCAACUUCCCCCACAGUCCAAAGACACGCGGAACAGUGGCAACGCUGGUUCGAGCCUCGGCUGGGUCAGUUGGUGUUUCUAUUUGGAGUUUGCAUGUUCUCCCUGCGUUCGAGUGGGUUUCCUCCGGUUGCUUCGACUUCUUCAACAGUCUAAAGACACGCGGAACAGGCACAGCUUUAACACAACAGCAGCCUUUUCAAAGUGGACAGAAUUCUUUGAGAUUCAAUCUAAAGCUAAGUAUUUUGUUUCAGUUGUUUGUACUGCCUUGUAAUACAGUCACAUUUUCAGCAUAAUGUUAAAUCUUAGUCUCAUUCAAGUGUUGUGUUUUUUUAUGUUUUUACUACCAGAAGACCCAAGAAGAUGUGUUGACUGAGAAAACAAAUGUCCUGCAGUAUUGUUGAGGAAGACAUCUGCCUAACUAUAUAUUGGAGAAGACCAGGUGUAUGCGCACUACGGCAUUGCAGAAUGAUAGACCAGAGGAAGAACAUCUCUAAUACAGAGGUAUUCUGAAACAAGAGAAGACCAGGUGUUUGGCAUUGCACACCACAGCAUUGCAGGAUGACGGACCAGAGGAUAUAAAGUCUGUGCAUGCCAGAUCCAGAGGCCAGAUGGUGGAAGACGGUUUCCUGCAACAUUUAGAUAAUUUUAACGUUGUUUAAAAAUGUUAUUAGCUUAUACAUUUAAAAAAUGUUGUUACGUUACGUGCCACGCCCAAGGAAGAUGGGUACUCCCUUGCUGAGUCUGGUCUUUCCAAGGUUUCUCUCCAAACUUUUUGGAGUUUUUUUCCUUGCCACAGUCGCCAAUGGCUUGCUCACAGGGGGUGUUGUGCCAAGUCCUGUCUUCCCCUCGGGUCCUUUAUCUUUAAACUUAGAUUCCAUAGUAAUUUAGCCAUACAAAUGUUAAUAAAAAGGAGCUUAAAAGUAAUUUAAAAUAAGUAAAAAUAGGCUUAAGAGUACAAAUAAAGCUUAGUCAAUCAUAUCAUCACAAUUUAGGAUAUUUAUAUGCAGCUUAGGUUUGAAUGUAUUUGCCAUUAAUAAAUACUAAUGAGUAAAAUGUUUGCUCCAUAAACUAUUUAGUGUUAUAAAUCAAUGUAACUUUUUUUUUUUUCUCAGAUUAGAGCCGCAAAUUAUUUGCAGAAAGGGACAGUAGGUCAGGUAAAAAUUGAUAAUCAUCACAUAUGGCCAAAGUACAUUUUUACUUUAAACAACGUAAAAAAAGAAUAAAACCCAUUAGCAUUUAGAUCAGUUUCUUAGGGCACUUUAAUAUUAAUUAAUUAAUUAAUUAAUUAAUAAUAAUAAUAACAAAACUUUUGUGUUUAUAGCUGGCAUGGUCUUUAUUAAAUAAACAUUCCCAGCACCAAUUUAUAGCAAAUAAUCAUGUCAUUUUAUUAUUAUUAAUUAAACCAUGUUUAGCAGGGUGGUUGAACUGCAGAAUUAUUUAUAAAUUUAACUCUGCCACUGUACACAGUAUGUGAUAGUGCACUGAAUGAGGUUUUAAAUUAAAAUCAACCAUAUUAAAUGCACAUAUAUAUAAUAUUAUAUAAUUUAUUAUAAUAUAUAAUUAAUAUAUAUUAUAGUAUAAAAAUUAUAAUAAUUUACAAUGAUGUGUUUAAGAAAAACAUCCAUUUUGGAAUUAAACAGUCAUUAGGUAAACUUUAUUAUUGCUCUAUUGCUUAAUUCAUUAUUCUAACAUUUUAGUAGGUGUGACUGGGAUCAGACUGGUGGACAGGAUUUGGCACAACAGGCUUUUUUUUAAUCGAUUUAAUAAACAAUUUGGUUUAAUUGGCACAGUC